Non-coding RNA from Phrynosoma platyrhinos (Desert horned lizard), 72 nucleotides. NCBI's taxonomy places the organism in Eukaryota, Metazoa, Chordata, Lepidosauria, Squamata, Phrynosomatidae. The record is from the annotation of a GenBank genome assembly.
UAGUACAUGGUGUGGUGGUUUCAGCACUGGACUAGGACUCUGGAGACCAGGGUUCAAAUCCCUUCUUAGUAA